UAAAUAGGUGUAUAAAAAAUAAAAAAAAUGAAAUAAGAUAGAUAAUAAAAGAUUAUUAAGAAGUUUUGGUUCUGGACUUAAUAUUAGCUUUCUCUUAGUUAGAUACAUGGUACUUUUGGGGUUAAUGAGGAGNGUCAUAUAAAGUGUUUAAGACGCAUAUGGUUGUUCACGUGGGUAUGAUUAAAUAAAUAUGAAACCUGGAGAUUUUCAUUACCACCAGUACUGAAGUUUAAGNNNNNNNNNNNNNNNNNNNNNNNNNNNNNAGAAUAGAGCUGGGUAAUUGUAGUGCCAGCACUCGCGGUUAAACUACUGGCUCAAGUUAAUAAAUUACGGCAUAAAAGAUGGUUAGUUGUAUGUAUAGAAUAAAGAAGUUUUAAUAAGGAGUUAUAUCUGGAGUAAAGGAUUAAUACACAUAUAUUCUAUUUGAUGAGGCCAUGAAAUCUUCAGUAGAGACUAGGAUUAGAUACCCUAUUAUUUGAAGAUGGAAAUUUAGAUUGUUGUCUGCCAGGGUACUACGAACGCAUGUUUAGAACUCAAAGAACUUGGCGGUGUUUUAGCCAGCUAGGGGAACCUGUCCUUUAAUUCGAUAAUCCACGAAAAUCUUACCUGUUCUGGUUUUCAGUUUGUAUACCGUCGUCGAAAGCUGGCACCAAAAGGGGUUAGAAGCUAGCAAGAAAGAUUUUUCUCUUGUAAGUCAGAUCAAGGUGCAGCCUAUGAAUAGGGAGGAGAUGGGUUACAAUUAAUAAUUUCUAUUGGAGUUCUAAUGAAAUUUAGUUAAUGGAAAGAGGACUUAGCAGUAAUUUCUUAGUUAAAGUUAAGAGAUGAAGUAGGCUCUAGAGCGUGUACAAAUCGCCCGUCGCUCUCGUUGAAAAAUGAGAUAAGUCGUAACAUAGUAGGGGUAGCGGAAGCUGUCCCUAAUUU
This 921-nucleotide ribosomal RNA is filed under the name Patella ferruginea. RNAcentral describes it as "12S ribosomal RNA". The stretch from base 215 to 921 matches the Rfam family "Microsporidia small subunit ribosomal RNA". Lineage: Eukaryota; Metazoa; Mollusca; Gastropoda; Patellidae. The record is from RNAcentral.